GACGAACGCUGGCGGCGUGCUUAACGCAUGCAAGUCGAACGGAAAGGCCCUGCUUUUGUGGGGUGCUCGAGUGGCGAACGGGUGAGUAACACGUGAGUAACCUGCCCUUGACUUUGGGAUAACUUCAGGAAACUGGGGCUAAUACCGGAUAGGAGCUCCUGCUGCAUGGUGGGGGUUGGAAAGUUUCGGCGGUUGGGGAUGGACUCGCGGCUUAUCAGCUUGUUGGUGGGGUAGUGGCUGACCAAGGCUUUGACGGGUAGCCGGCCUGAGAGGGUGACCGGCCACAAUGGGACUGAGAUACGGCCCAGACUCCUACGGGAGGCAGCAGUGGGGAAUAUUGCACAAUGGGCGGAAGCCUGAUGCAGCAACGCCGCGUGCGGGAUGACGGCCUUCGGGUUGUAAACCGCUUUCGCCUGUGACGAAGCGUGAGUGACGGUAAUGGGUAAAGAAGCACCGGCUAACUACGUG
This 468-nucleotide ribosomal RNA is filed under the name uncultured bacterium. RNAcentral describes it as "partial 16S ribosomal RNA". It matches the Rfam family "Bacterial small subunit ribosomal RNA", at positions 28 to 507 of the family's 1533-position model. The record is from RNAcentral.